Molecule: non-coding RNA, 148 nt
Filed under: Homo sapiens (human)
Lineage: Eukaryota; Metazoa; Chordata; Mammalia; Primates; Hominidae
Source: Rfam by way of RNAcentral
GCUGGGCAUGGUAGAGUGUGCCUGUAAUCCUAGCUACUCAGGAGGCUGAGGUGGGGGGAUUGCUUGAGUCCAGGAGUUCAAAGCUUCAGUGAGCUAUGAUGAUGCCAUUGCACUCUAGCCUGGACCACAGAGUAAGACCCUGACUCUA